Marmota marmota marmota (Alpine marmot) is the source of this 122-nucleotide small nucleolar RNA. NCBI's taxonomy places the organism in Eukaryota, Metazoa, Chordata, Mammalia, Rodentia, Sciuridae. The record is from Ensembl.
GCCCUCCUUUUUAUGGUCACAGACAUCCCUCAGGUGUACACUGGUCAUUCGAUGGGAGAAAAAUCAUUUUAAAAACUCAAGCAAGCUGGUGUUUGUCUCACAUCCUGCCAGAUAAAAGGUAU